RNAcentral lists this ribosomal RNA (253 nucleotides) under uncultured bacterium. RNAcentral's name for it is "partial 16S ribosomal RNA". It matches the Rfam family "Bacterial small subunit ribosomal RNA", at positions 524 to 776 of the family's 1533-position model. The record is from RNAcentral.
UACGAGUGCCCCAAGCGUUGUCCGGAAUCACUGGGCGUAAAGGGUUCGUAGGCGGUUUUGUUAGUCUUCUGUAAAAGACCGGGGCCCAACCUCGGUUUCGCAGGAGAAACGGCAAGACUUGAGAGCAGAAGAGGUGCAUGGAACUCACGGUGUAGGGGUGAAAUCCGUUGAUAUCGUGGGGAACACCAAAGGCGAAGGCAGUGCACUGGUCUGUUUCUGACGCUGAUGAACGAAAGCCAGGGUAGCGAAUGGG